UGAACGCUAGCGGCAGGCUUAACACAUGCAAGUCGAGGGGCAGCAUGAUGAAACUUUCGGGUUUCAUUGAUGGCGACCGGCGCAAGGGUGCGUAACGCGUGAGCAACUUGCCCUUAUCAGGGGAAUAACCGGUGGAAACGCCGACUAAUACCCCAUAGCAUCACUUUAAGGCAUCUUUUAGUGAUUAAAGAAUUUCGGAAACGGAUAGGCUCGCGUGACAUUAGCUAGAUGGCGGGGUAACGGCCCACCAUGGCGACGAUGUCUAGGGGUUCUGAGAGGAAGGUCCCCCACACUGGAACUGAGACACGGUCCAGACUCCUACGGGAGGCAGCAGUGAGGAAUAUUGGUCAAUGGUCUGACGACUGAACCAGCCAUGCCGCGUGAAGGUCACGGCCCUAUGGGUCUUAAACUUCUUUUGCAAGGGAGCAAUAAGGUCUACGUGUAGAUCGAUGAGAGUACCUUGCGAAUAAGCAUCGGCUAACUCCGUG
Molecule: ribosomal RNA, 488 nt
Filed under: uncultured bacterium
Lineage: Bacteria
Description: bacterial SSU rRNA
Rfam family: Bacterial small subunit ribosomal RNA
Source: RNAcentral